AUUGAACGCUGGCGGCAUGCCUUACACAUGCAAGUCGAACGGCAGCACGGGGGCAACCCUGGUGCGAGUGGACGGAACGGGUCGAGUAACGUGCAUCGGAAUGUGCCCAGUAGUGGGGGAUAACGUAGCGAAAGCUACGCUAAUACCGCAUACGACCUACGGGUGAAAGCGGGGGACCGAAAGGCCUCGCGCUAUUGGAGCAGCCGAUGUCUGAUUAGCUAGUUGGUGGGGUAAAGGCCUACCAAGGCGACGAUCAGUAGCUGGUCUGAGAGGACGAUCAGCCACACUGGGACUGAGACACGGCCCAGACUCCUACGGGAGGCAGCAGUGGGGAAUUUUCCGCAAUGGGCGCAAGCCUGACGGAGCAAGACCGCGUGGGGGAGGAA
RNAcentral lists this ribosomal RNA (386 nucleotides) under uncultured beta proteobacterium. Its description in RNAcentral is "bacterial SSU rRNA". It matches the Rfam family "Bacterial small subunit ribosomal RNA", at positions 29 to 412 of the family's 1533-position model. The record is from RNAcentral. Lineage: Bacteria; Pseudomonadati; Pseudomonadota; Betaproteobacteria.